This 354-nucleotide ribosomal RNA is filed under the name Triticum aestivum (bread wheat). RNAcentral's name for it is "partial small subunit ribosomal RNA". Lineage: Eukaryota; Viridiplantae; Streptophyta; Magnoliopsida; Poales; Poaceae. The record is from RNAcentral.
AUGAAACUACAGAAUAGAGGAAUGGAAGUGGAUACAAGAUGUCCAGUAUGCCAUCGAAUGGAUGAAGAUGGAGGUCAUUGUUUCCUAAAGUGCAAAUUUGUCAAGGCCGUUUGGAGAACUGCAUUGUUGGAAGAAAGUCGGAUGCAACUUCUCAAUUGCCCAAAUGCCAUCUCGAUGGUGGAGGAUAUCUUGCACAUGGAAGAGGAAAAAUGUCUGAAAGUAUGCAUCCUUUUAUGGUUAUGGUGGUCUGAAAGAAACGGAGCUAAUCAAGGAGAAAGGAUUAGGACUGAAGAGGAAAUUAUAUAUUCAGUUCAGCUGCACUUGUUGGAAUACAAAAAAUACAUCAAGCGAUAG